This 1195-nucleotide ribosomal RNA is filed under the name Scenedesmus bijugus. Its description in RNAcentral is "eukaryotic LSU rRNA". The stretch from base 1 to 334 matches the Rfam family "Eukaryotic small subunit ribosomal RNA", at positions 1495 to 1831 of the family's 1831-position model. Lineage: Eukaryota; Viridiplantae; Chlorophyta; Chlorophyceae; Sphaeropleales; Scenedesmaceae. The record is from RNAcentral.
GCGCUACACUGAUGCAUUCAACAAGCCUAUCCCUAGCCGAAAGGCUCGGGUAAUCUUUGAAACUGCAUCGUGAUGGGGAUAGAUUAUUGCAAUUAUUAGUCUUCAACGAGGAAUGCCUAGUAAGCGCAAUUCAUCAGAUUGCGUUGAUUACGUCCCUGCCCUUUGUACACACCGCCCGUCGCUCCUACCGAUUGGGUGUGCUGGUGAAGUGUUCGGAUUGGCAAUUAUCGGUGGCAACACCGUCGAUUGCCGAGAAGUUCAUUAAACCCUCCCACCUAGAGGAAGGAGAAGUCGUAACAAGGUUUCCGUAGGUGAACCUGCGGAAGGAUCAUUGAAUAUGCAAACCACAACACGCACUCUCUACUUGUGUCUGACGUUAGGUCAACAUGCGCAAGCAUGUGGCCUACUAACCUACACACCAUUGACCAACCAGUUAUCAAACCAAACUCUGAAGCUUUGGCUGCUGUUAACCGGCAGUUUUAACAAAGAACAACUCUCAACAACGGAUAUCUUGGCUCUCGCAACGAUGAAGAACGCAGCGAAAUGCGAUACGUAGUGUGAAUUGCAGAAUUCCGUGAACCAUCGAAUCUUUGAACGCAUAUUGCGCUCGACUCCUCGGAGAAGAGCAUGUCUGCCUCAGCGUCGGCUUACACCCUCACCCCUCUUCCUUAACAGGAGGCGCCUGUCGUGCUUGCUCAAGCCGGCAGCAGGGGUGGAUCUGGCUCUCCCAAUUGGUUCACUCCGAUUGGGUUGGCUGAAGCACAGAGGAUUAAACUGGGACCCAAUUCGGGCUCAACUGGAUAGGUAGCAACACCCUCGGGUGCCUACACGAAGUUGUGUCUGAGGACCUGGUUAGGAUCCAAGCAGGAAACAUGCCUCUAGCAUGUACUCUGUAUUCGACCUGAGCUCAGGCAAGGCUACCCGCUGAACUUAAGCAUAUCACUAAGCGGAGGAAAAGAAACUAACAAGGAUGCGCUUAGUAACGGCGAGCGAACCGCGCAAAGCCCAACUUGAAAAUCUCCCUCGGAGAAUUGUAGUCUAUAGAAGUACCCUCUGCAACGGGCUGAGCUAAAGUCUCCUGGAAAGGGGCGUCAGAGAGGGUGAGAACCCCGUAAGCUCACGCUUUGUUGCCUCACGAGGUGCUUUCGAAGAGUCGGGUUGCUUGGGAAUGCAGCCCAAAUUUGGUGGUAAAUCC